UAGUGUCCUUAUAAGAAGAGGACAGAAUUAGCUCACUCUCUCUCUGCCAUGUGAGGAUACCAAGAAGUCAGCAGUCAAACCCAGAAGAGAGUUCUCAACAGAACCCGACCGUGCUGACAUCCUUCCCUAGGACUUCCAGCCUCUGGAACAGAUACUCCUGAAAGGAUGGUCUGCUUUUAUAGACAGUCAAUUCCUAGGCAUCACUCAUCACACUACAGUCCCCACGCCAACAUUCAGGAAGGAACACUAAGGAUGGCUGCCAACAUGAGAAGCAAAGAGAAAGGCAUGGAACAGAUUCUCUCCUAGAGCCUUCAGAGCGCUGGAUUUUGGACUCCUAGCCUUCAGAACUUAAGAAUGUAAAUUUCUGUUGUUCUAAGAGGCGUGCACACACACACACAUACACACAGCUAAUCCAACUCCUUGUAUCCUAUGCUUCAAUUACUCUUAAAUGUCUCUGAUGCACCAAGUCACUAUGAUUACAUCAUCAAAGUCCUCCUCUCUGCCUCAAUUCCUUUGUAUCUCUCCCCACUAGACAAUCACUUACUAUACUAUAAUUAGUGAGUAAAAGGUUCUGGGAGCCA
Molecule: long non-coding RNA, 581 nt
Filed under: Equus caballus (horse)
Lineage: Eukaryota; Metazoa; Chordata; Mammalia; Perissodactyla; Equidae
Description: lncRNA (ENSECAG00000059629.1)
Source: RNAcentral